Molecule: long non-coding RNA, 635 nt
Filed under: Cyanistes caeruleus (blue tit)
Lineage: Eukaryota; Metazoa; Chordata; Aves; Passeriformes; Paridae
Description: lncRNA (ENSCCEG00000000119.1)
Source: RNAcentral
UGCUGGGGAGACACAGGAGUAUGGAAAACCCGUCUGACUGUGGGAUCUCCUGCUGUAGAUCUGCAGAAAGCCAUUUCCUGACCACUUGCCUGUCGUGUAUGCGGGAUUGAAAUGGCUUUUAUUUUGCACAGGCUGAAGAUGGUGAAUUGAAACAACCAUAAUAAGAGUGGCAGCCAAAAACAAGGACAUUUACAAAGGAUAGUUAUUGCUUAGAUUAUGAAUAUCAAAUUUCUAUUGACAUGAAAAAAUUACAUCUUACAGAGAUAUUAUAAAUGUUGUCAUUCACAAUGAAGCAUAACAGAAAAGAUUUUACUCUCAGCUGCCUGUAGAAUUAAGUCACAUGAGCCAUUCUUCAGAGAAAUGUGAAGCUGAAACUUAGAAGGAUGCAAAUUUCUAUGUAUUGGUUCAACACUAGCAUGGAGAAUUGCUAUAUAGGAAAGACCAGUGGGGAAUGUAAAGUUCUCGGGGCAGAAAGAGUUUCCAGUUCCCCACUCACUUGUUCAGCUUCACUCAAUGAAGAAUGUCCCUGCCAGUCCUUAUCAAAAGAAUUGGUGUGAACUGGAGGAUUUUUAGGUCUUGGAAAAAUGACUGGAGAAGAGCUGUUUGAGGAAAUGCUCAGCAACAAGCAUUGAAAG